AGAAUCAACGCUGGCGGCGUGCCUAACACAUGCAAGUCGAACGCGAAAGUGGAGCAAUCCAUGAGUAGAGUGGCAAACGGGUGAGUAACGCGUGGGCGACCUACCUCUGAGUGGGGGAUAACGUUCCGAAAGGAGGGCUAAUACCGCAUGACAUCCCGUGUUUGGAUACACGGACAUCAAAGCCGGGGAUCGCAAGACCUGGCGCUUGGAGAGGGGCCCGCGUCCGAUUAGCUAGUUGGUGAGGUAACGGCUCACCAAGGCUUCGAU
RNAcentral lists this ribosomal RNA (267 nucleotides) under uncultured bacterium. Its description in RNAcentral is "partial small subunit ribosomal RNA". It matches the Rfam family "Bacterial small subunit ribosomal RNA", at positions 26 to 280 of the family's 1533-position model. The record is from RNAcentral.